ACACGAGUCUGAUGUAUGUUUCAGCAAAGGAAACAAAAACAUUGUCUCUUGAGGUAUUGGGAAACUGGCGAUACGUUUCAUAACAUUGAGCAGUUUUUGCACAAUAACAAGGACGAUAACAUCGUCUUCUAAGGUUUUAAAGUUUUUCCCAUAACAAGAAGGAUAAGAUCAAGAAGUAGCUACUUUUCACAACCAAAUCCUCUAUCACUGAAUUUAAUUUAAG
Molecule: unclassified non-coding RNA, 223 nt
Filed under: Hevea brasiliensis (rubber tree)
Lineage: Eukaryota; Viridiplantae; Streptophyta; Magnoliopsida; Malpighiales; Euphorbiaceae
Source: RNAcentral